Molecule: ribosomal RNA, 440 nt
Filed under: uncultured bacterium
Lineage: Bacteria
Description: partial 16S ribosomal RNA
Rfam family: Bacterial small subunit ribosomal RNA
Source: RNAcentral
CCUACGGGAGGCAGCAGUGGGGAAUAUUGCACAAUGGGGGAAACCCUGAUGCAGCGACGCCGCGUGAGUGAAGAAGUAUUUCGGUACGUAAAGCUCUAUCAGCAGGGAAGAAAAUGACGGUACCUGACUAAGAAGCCCCGGCUAACUACGUGCCAGCAGCCGCGGUAAUACGUAGGGGGCAAGCGUUAUCCGGAUUUACUGGGUGUAAAGGGAGCGUAGACGGCAGCGCAAGUCUGGAGUGAAAUCCCAUGGCUUAACCAUGGAACUGCUUUGGAAACGGUGCAGCUAGAGUGCAGGAGAGGUAAGCGGAAUACCUAGUGUAGCGGUGAAAUGCGUAGAUAUUAGGAGGAACACCAGUGGCGAAGGCGGCUUACUGGACUGUAACUGACGUUGAGGCUCGAAAGCGUGGGGAGCAAACAGGAUUAGAUACCCGAGUAGUC